Molecule: long non-coding RNA, 139 nt
Organism: Jaculus jaculus (lesser Egyptian jerboa)
Lineage: Eukaryota; Metazoa; Chordata; Mammalia; Rodentia; Dipodidae
Exons: 3
Source: RefSeq, a predicted model, not a curated record
AGCUAUGGAACAUAAAAGUAAUCUGGCAUCAGGCAAGCAAGUUCCAAAGACUCAGCCAUGGAAAAACAGUGGAUAUGGACAGUAAAUGAACAUCUUUCACAAAUGCCAGAAUCUAGAAGAAUCUUCCUUAUCCCUCCUA